This is a long non-coding RNA of Mugil cephalus (flathead mullet), 1200 nucleotides long. RefSeq lists it as uncharacterized. The record is from RefSeq and is a predicted model, not a curated record. NCBI's taxonomy places the organism in Eukaryota, Metazoa, Chordata, Actinopteri, Mugiliformes, Mugilidae. The transcript has 3 exons.
UAGCUCUAUGUCUCUCUCUUCUCCCUUUCUCCCAUCCCAGCCACUAUUCCCACAGUCAAGUGAGCAUUUGAUGACACAUGAUCCACAGUUCACAUGACUGCUCCCCUUAAAAGUGUCAAGUUUGCUUGGUGCGACUCUGAUUUGCCUCAGAGCAAAGAUCUGUCUUAGUCUGAGCAUAUUCCACGCAGGUUACUUGUAUUUAGCGGGGGCAUGUAAGCAAAAAAAAAAAUUCAGUGACUUUCUUUUCCUGACUCUUUCUCUCCGUGCCGUCUCUCCCUCUUGGCAGACGGGUAAAAGUGGGCAGGGAGAGAGAAGGGCAUGGCCCAAAGGCUGCUCUCAAGCCCCAGCCCCUGUUCGAGUGGGGUUGGUUGCUGGUACAGUACUCAGCCUUUCCCUCGUCUUGCAGGCGAAAGAGAGGGAUGUGGAAAUGCAUUCUUUUCUCUUUUCUAACCCGCCUUUUUUUUUUUUUUUUUUUUUUCUUUCGUCGCCACCAUGGCCUUAUUGUCUGCGGGUGAACACUAGCCUGAUCUUGACAAAAAACUCAGUUUGACCUUCAGGUUUCCACGGCUACCUGCAAAAACUUAUCUGUCCUUAAGGCUGAGGAAACAGGUUAAUCUGCUGUGAUGCUGAAGACUCCGUCCACCUGGGAAGCUCCGUAGAUAAAGGACCUCGUGGACUGAGAACCCUUCCCACACAUGUGGAGAGACAAACCGCAGAGGCUCUGGCAAUAUUGUCUGAAGUUGGUACAUAAUGACAAAAGUUUGGUUUUAAGGAGAUUUGUUUGUGCCUGAAAUUGAGCCUAGCAAGGUGAGGUAGUAGGUUGUAUAGUUUGUGGGAUGGAGUAAAUCCUACUCGGGUGAUAACUAUACAGUCUAUUACCUUCCUUGAGGGGUACAAUGAGUGCGUGGAAUGAGGCUCGCUCACUGCCACAUAAGACGAGAUAGUCACUCUGAUGUCAUCUUGUGGACAAAGUCUGAUAUUACUCUGUGAAUGCUGUAAACCUGGGGGACCUCUACUGUGUGCAUCUGGAGUUUUCUGGGACAAAUAAUUUAAUAAAUAUAAUUUAUUAAAAUUAUAUUUUAUAUUUUAAAUAUGUUUUUAAGCAAUUGGAAAAAAAUUAUAAAUUUCCUUCUGCUUUGAUGAGGUAGCAACUAAACUUUGAAUGUUAUUCAGCGUAAAUAAACAAUGAUUUACAACAUA